Oreochromis aureus is the source of this 862-nucleotide long non-coding RNA. NCBI's taxonomy places the organism in Eukaryota, Metazoa, Chordata, Actinopteri, Cichliformes, Cichlidae. The record is from Ensembl.
CUCGGACAGUCGGGGAUGAGUGCGCUAACAUACCUGUAGGUUGCUGUUUUAAUGAGUGUUUGAUGGAAAACAACAAUGGCGGAGUUUAUGCUCUCCAGUGGCAUGAUAGAAAAGAAUGGCAGGGCUGUGAUCUGCGGGAUCCCUGGCACCCCUGCGAAACAUCAGCCAUCAUCGGCUGGGGCUUUUAAGGAGCUGUGCAGAAGAUGUCUGGUGUCGGAGUAUUGUUUCAUCGCAAGUGCCAGCCUUGCUUCUCUGAUCAGCCCCAUGUCCUCUAAGGAUCAUCUCCAUCUGGACUCCAACUUUUCUCCUUUACCUUUGCCACAGCCUGCCUGCACUCAACCCUCCUCAGACCUUUGGCUCCUCAUCGCCCCCAGUAAUCAGUUCGUGACAAGUAAGCUCUCCAACUCUCUCCCCUCGUAUUAUGCUCGUUUUUGCCUCCCCGUAUACGAGCACUAAUAUCUGCUCUCAUUUUUCUGCAGACCGUUCGAUUACUCCCCUCACACCCCGGAAUUGUGUUGUUUUUGUCAUUGUAAAUUAAACCACUGCACCGCAUCCAAACAUGUCUGUGUGUUCUGCUCCUGAAGUCCACCGAUAUUAUGUCAUAACAAUUACAGAGACCUGGUUACAGCAGGAUGACUGUCUGAUGCUCCUUUAGUUAGCAGAAUGAGUCUGACCUCUGUCACAAUCCUCAAAGUACAUGCUGAAGAGGGGGAUUGGCAGGAAUCUUCCACACCAGGUUAUCUAGCAACUAUAGACCCAGACAGGGUUUUAAUUCAUUAGUCUAAUUCUUAGCUUUGUCCACCCUCAUUGGAAAACUCGAAAAACAGUUUUAUUUGCUGUUAUGCAUGGUCAACCUGCCCCU